CUCAUAACUCACCUUCACUGUGUUUGCCUUUGGCAGCCCACACACUCUUCUCUAGCUCACAAUGAGAUGAGCACAACUUUCGCAAGCCUGUGAGAGGGAACAAAGGAACAAGAAAACUUUUGCUUAGAAGCUCAGUAGACCAGAAAGAGAAUAGAAAAUUAUCAUGAAAAAAGAGCUUUUCAUGUUGACUAUAGCUGCUGUAAAACUGCUAUCUGGUAUAGGUCAAAUUAGUUAUAAAGAAGUGUGUAGGAAGACACAACUUUUCAGUAAAUUGCAUUAGAAACUAAGCAGGUGGGUAGGUCUGUGUGCUGUUAUGCAAGCUGAUUUAGCUGUCGACUUUGAAAAAGCUUAGAAUGGCUAGACCUUCCAAUUACUUUUUCCCGGGUAAUUCCUUCAUGUUUAUCUGUAUGAAGUCCAAGAAGGGCGCUGCUGGAAUCUCAAAUUUGUAUCCGGCCCAUCAGAAGCACAGAUCAUUAACUGCAUAUGAAGGAAACUGAAGAGAGGUCCUAAUUACUGAAAGCAAGUUAUAGGAAGAUUAAUCUGGCAAUUGUGGGCAGAAGAUUAUGGAAAAGUUUCCAAG
Molecule: long non-coding RNA, 580 nt
Organism: Felis catus (domestic cat)
Lineage: Eukaryota; Metazoa; Chordata; Mammalia; Carnivora; Felidae
Exons: 3
Source: RefSeq, a predicted model, not a curated record